CCUACGGGAGGCAGCAGUGAGGAAUAUUGGUCAAUGGGCUUACGCCUGAACCAGCCAAGUCGCGUGAGGGAAGACUGCCCUAUGGGUUGUAAACCUCUUUUGUCAGGGAGCAACGCCGGCUACGUGUAGCCGGACUGAGAGUACCUGAAGAAAAAGCAUCGGCUAACUCCGUGCCAGCAGCCGCGGUAAUACGUAGGGGGCAAGCGUUAUCCGGAUUUACUGGGUGUAAAGGGAGCGUAGACGGUUGUGCAAGUCUGAAGUGAAAGCCCGCGGCUCAACUGCGGAACGGCUUUGGAAACUGUGUAACUGGAGUGCUGGAGAGGUAAGCGGAAUUCCUGGUGUAGCGGUGAAAUGCGUAGAGAUCAGGAGGAACACCGGCGGCGAAGGCGGCUUACUGGACAGUAACUGACGUUGAGGCUCGAAAGCGUGGGGAGCAAACAGGAUUAGAUACCCCAGUAGUC
RNAcentral lists this ribosomal RNA (461 nucleotides) under uncultured bacterium. RNAcentral describes it as "partial 16S ribosomal RNA". It matches the Rfam family "Bacterial small subunit ribosomal RNA", at positions 338 to 795 of the family's 1533-position model. The record is from RNAcentral.